GGUGAGAUGGCCGAGCGGUCUAAGGCGCCAGACUAAGGAGCAGGGGAACAUCCGUGGAUGUUCGCCUCGAAGUAGUUCAUCUGGUCCGAACAGGGCGUGAGUUCGAAUCUCACUCUCAUCA
This is a non-coding RNA of Rhodofomes roseus, 121 nucleotides long. Lineage: Eukaryota; Fungi; Basidiomycota; Agaricomycetes; Polyporales; Fomitopsidaceae. The record is from the annotation of a RefSeq genome assembly.